AGAGAGAGACAUGCGCGCAUAUCAAUAAGCGGAGGAAAAGAAACUAACAAGGAUUCCCUUAGUAACGGCGAGUGAAGCGGGAAGAGCUCAAAUUUGAAAUCUUCAAGGUUCUACCUUGACGAAUUGUAGUUUAUAGAAGUGUUUUCUGUUAGUGGAGCGGCAAAAGUUCUUUGGAAUAGGACAUCAUAGAGGGUGAGAAUCCCGUAUUUGGUCAUUCCUCCUAGCGUUGUGAUACACUUUCAACGAGUCGGAUUGUUUGGGAAUGCAGUCCAAAAUGGGUGGUAAAUUUCAUCUAAAGCUAAAUAUUGGCGAGAGACCGAUAGCGAACAAGUACCGUGAGGGAAAGAUGAAAAGAACUUUGAAAAGAGAGUUAAACAGUACGUGAAAUUGUCAAAAGGGAAGCGUUUGACACCAGUGUUGUUUUUCCGAAAAUCAAUUACGAAUGUUUUGUUUUUGAGGAGUUAUGACUUCAUCGGCUUGCUCCUUUCUUUACGAAACUUUCUUAAUGCACUUUUCGGUUAACAAGUCAACAUCAAUUUCUUUUGUUGUAAAAGGGUAUGAGGAAGGUGACUUUCUUUUCGGAGAAAGUGUUUUAUAGCCUUGUGCCUCUGCAAUCGGAGAGAUUGAGGUCUGCAGCGUAGAUCCUUCGGGGUUAGAUACAGUUUGUGCUAAGUUAUAGCUUUUCAUAGACAACUUGUUGACUAUGUUUAGUCUUGUAGCUUACUCGCUGAUGCUAUUUUACCUACGCUUAGGAUGUUGAUAGUCACAGCGUGUAC
Molecule: ribosomal RNA, 776 nt
Filed under: uncultured Neocallimastigales
Lineage: Eukaryota; Fungi; Neocallimastigomycota; Neocallimastigomycetes; Neocallimastigales
Description: partial large subunit ribosomal RNA
Rfam family: Eukaryotic large subunit ribosomal RNA
Source: RNAcentral